UCCGUAGGCGGGCUAAUAAGUCAGUGGUGAAAUCUCUCGGCUCAACCGGGAAACUGCCAUUGAUACUGUUAGUCUUGAGUUCGGUUGAGGUAGGCGGAAUGUGUAAUGUAGCGGUGAAAUGCUUAGAUAUUACACAGAACACCAAUUGCGUAGGCAGCUUACUAGACCGACACUGACGCUGAGGCACGAAAGCGUGGGGAGCGAACAGGAUUAGAUACCCUGGUAGUCC
This 229-nucleotide ribosomal RNA is filed under the name uncultured bacterium. Its description in RNAcentral is "partial 16S ribosomal RNA". It matches the Rfam family "Bacterial small subunit ribosomal RNA", at positions 568 to 796 of the family's 1533-position model. The record is from RNAcentral.